Long non-coding RNA from Hemicordylus capensis (graceful crag lizard), 5920 nucleotides. RefSeq lists it as uncharacterized. The record is from RefSeq and is a predicted model, not a curated record. The transcript has 2 exons. Lineage: Eukaryota; Metazoa; Chordata; Lepidosauria; Squamata; Cordylidae.
AGUGGAUGUUUCGAAUGUUUAGCUGCCUAUAAAGCUGAAACAGUUUUACUCGUGCCCUCCAAAUGGCAAAUGGAUCCAGCCUAAGUCGCAUGCAUGUGAGAGUCCUGACCUCAACAUGAUUUGACCUCUGAAGAUGGAAAAAACGCUACAACGGGGCUGACUGGAAACUAAAAUCCAAGCAAGAACAGAUGAAAUGCAACAUCUACAGAGCAAGAAAGAAAACAAUUUCUCGGGAAGGGGGUGGUGAUGGUAAAGGUGCAUGCGAAAUUUUUAAUGUCUCGUGAACAUUUUCUCUUUAGUUGCUUUCAGCUGACAAGCAUGAUGAGUUUAUCCUUCUUUGGGAUUCCUAGCAGCCUUAUCCUGGAUACUUUACUCAGUCUUGCAGGCACAAGGAACUUAUCUCUACACGUCCGGACUUCAGUAUUUAGGAACAAGUAGGAGAUACCUAUUAACAAUAUUGCUCGCGUUUUGGUUAUAACUAUAUUAGAAAGUGAAAUAUGUAUUCACUGACACCUCCCCCCUGCUCCCCCUCCCACAUAAUGAAGAGCUGAAUCAGCGAAUAGAGUGAACGAACACUCAAGAUGAGAUGGCUGCUGCUGAUGUCUCUCUCUAGGUCAUUACCUCUCUUCCAACUGCAAAUGCUGCAUGAUAAGCUUACAGGUAACAGAGAAUUAGAAAUCCUGAAUUAUGCCACAUGUUUCAAGGAUUCCUGUCUGCAGGACUCUUAAAAUGCUCUACUUAAGCGUUUAUCUAAAUAAGGAGUCCAGUGAAAACAUAUUUCCUGUAUCAGAUCACAAAUCCAGCUUUACAAAUGUGAUUAUACAUCUCUCAAAACUAUAGUCUACAUAUUUCAUCUCUUUUAAAAAAUCUGACCUCAUAAGUGCAAGCAAAUUCUAAAUGAUUCUUGCACAUAAAUCUUGUCCUUUUGAUACCACACUAAACAGAUUCAACAGAACAAUGUGGAAUGUAUUAGGCCGCUAUAUAUCUCAUGUGUAUCCAAACAGAUAACUGUGGCAAGCCUGCGAAUAAUUCUGUUGUGAAAUUCAUGAACUAUCAUGAGAAGUUAACUAUUCCAAAAUUAUUUAGUAAGGAUCAGCUCACAGUAUGAGCAUUACAGUCAACUAAUCCUGCAGUUUAUGUCCACCACCCCACCCCUUUAAAGUUUGUCAUCUCUGCAACAUCCUCAGACAUUUCAAAAAAACAAAAAACGAUGGGAAGAAAAUAUAUCUGGGACUUUUAAAAAGCAGAAUAUUAUUUCAAUUUCAUUUGGAUAUUUGGCUUCAAGCAUCAAUAUACAACAGACUGAACGAUGAUUGAAGGUACCAAAGGCAACUCAAGCUCAAAGUGGAGUACAACUCCCAUUUCAUGAAGGUAUUUUGUACAGCCAAUCUUCAGUGACUGUUCUUCAUUUGCAAACUUCGCAGACAGAAAGCGGCAGCAACGAAAGUCCAGAAAAGUACUUGAAAUCUUCAUGACAGAAUAAUGAAUAUUAAUAUGCUCUAAACUACUGAGCAGGUAAACUACACUGUGGAAUUUACACUCAGUAAUAAAGCCAAUUUUAUAUUAAGAAUUAAAAAACACUGUUCUUGGAACUAAUUGGGAACAAUCAUUUUGCACCUUAGGAUAAUGGAGAGCAAGAAAAAUGCUUUUCAGCAUCAUCAUCCAGCAGAUAGUUCAGCAAUUAUCAAAACCUGCCCAGAGCACAUACUUCUUUAUGUACCCAUAUGAAGAUAGAACACUAUGGAAUGUAAAGAAGUAUGUAUUUUUGGCAAGUGAGAACUACCAGUAAGAGAAAGCUGAACAAAAGAGGAACUCUCUUUCAGUGUUCUCUCUAAUUGUUUUCAUCUGUGUGUGGAAUUAGAUUUGUUCAGGGAGGCAGAAUCAAGGCAGUGUGUGUGCACAUGCAUUCAGGGUGUGGCCUUCCUGAUUCAACCUGAGCGGGAUCGAAAAUUAACUGAGCGGACAUUUUAAAAAUGUGUGAGAGUGUGCACAUGCACACGCCUUAGAGGGAACACUGCUCUCUGGUCUACUUUAGGUGAAAUUAACUUAUAAUGGUACCAGGCAAAAAGUAAUAUGAAAGCACUUAUUUAGAAUAAUGUUGUAAAACAUUAACAUUUGCCUAAAACAUGAAGGGUGUUAAGUGUGCUAUUCAUUAGCAACAAUCCAACUUUGGUUGUACAGGCAUAUAUUUUCUAUAAAUUCCAAAUGUAAGGAAAUAAAAUCAAUCACAUUAGAAUAUGUAAUAAAAUUCAACGUUAUUGUCCGAAUAUUACUACUAACCAUCAAAAAUGUUAAUUGAUCAAACUUGUAAGGUUUUCUAGCCAGAACUGUCUUCUAAAAAACCCUAAGUGUCUAGUUCUGGAAGGUUUUUGGGAAAUUAUCUAUAGCCAUCAAGUAGUACACUGAUUAAGAUGAAGUUUGACAGCUAAACUUCUGUACAUAAAGAUAUGAAAAAUGUGAUUAAAAUGUAUUAAACAUACCUGAAGUUCUUUCUAGGGAUGCGCACAAGAUGGUUUGGCACAUCCUUUGGGAAGCACCAAAGUGGCUCGGGCACCCACAGCCGAACCAGUUCGGCAGGGCAGGGAGCGGUUCCCUUAAGGAGCAAGUAAGCAGGUCGUUACCUGCUCCGCUGCCACCCGGCUGCUUUUCCAGGCACAGUGCUUGCUCAAGCAAAGGCUGCGCACACAGAUGUGGUGCUGUUCCCAGAAGGCUGCAUGUGGCAUUGGCAUACACAUGGCCAGUGUAUGCCGGCCAUGUGCAUGCUGAUGCGGCCUGCAGGGAACAGCACUCAGAAAUGGGAGAGGGGUGGAAGCGGAGCAGUUAAGGACUUGUUUACCUGCUCCUUAAGGGAACUGCUCCCCGCCCCACCCACACCUGCAUAAAUGGCUCAUGAACAUCCUUAGGUCUUUCCACACAUUCAUCAUAAUGUGCAAGCUCAACCCACAGACGAAAGAUUGACCUUUGCUCAUCUUACCUACCUGCCUCGAGUGUUUAGUUAGAAAUCUGUCAUGCAUUUAUUUGCUUACUUGCAACCCUUGGUGUCAUAGGCAGUAUGCCAAUGACACCAAUUGUGCUUGCUUCCCUUUGCUGAUGUGUCGGAACACAAGUGUUAUGUGUGUCAAGACCUAUGCACGUGGUCUAAUCUUUACUCCAAUAGUUUUGAAGAAUAAAGAUCUUGAGUUAUUGGAUGCUCUUUUGGAAAAACUGACAUGCUAUUCAGAAAUAAGUGUGCUGACGCAAUGCAGGCAGGUUGUGAUUCUACAGCCAUACUGUGUGUUUAAUAUACUCAGUUCAGAGUUAGUAUCAACAGGACUUAAGUAACUUGGUCUUGAAAGGCCCAACAUGAUAUUUAAGCAGAUCAUCAAAUGCUAAGAGGAAAUAAGCAGCUAUUGUGAUGCAUGGCAAGACUGCUAAUUGUACAAAAGCAUGAGAAGUAAAUAAAUGUGUGAGAAAAUGCAAAAUAGGUAGUUUACAUUUAUGGUGCAGUGGUGUCUAGGCCAUCUUGCACCAUUUACUAGAUUAUGUGACAAGCAGCCUCUAUAUUCCCAUUCAGUUAACACACGAGUCUUCUGCCACAAACCAGAUGCAACUAGUUUCCAAGGUCUCAAAGACAGAAAUCUGAGUUUUCUGGCUGGUAUCCAGAAUGCUAUUUUUAUUAAAAGCAGCAAUAAGUAUUUGAAUUGGCUUACAGAAAUUUGCAACAAUACUGCUAUUGGUUAACUCUCCACCAAAAAACCUACAAUUAAAUGUCUGCCCUAUUCAGUAGGGCAGACAUUGGUGAGAACCAUGUGAAAAAUAGAGCUGAAACAUAUUAAAAAGAUGCGAUUUCACCUCAGAUAGAUUAAUGUUCCAUUUCACGAGCCCAACUACUCAAAUAUUACAGAUGCUCUAACAUGAAAUCCAAUAAUUAUUAAACAGAGGUACAUUUAGAUAUUAAGAUUUUCACAGAUGAAGUUAUGGACUCUAACGUUUCUCAUUAUGUGGAAAACCCACCAAAAAUUUCCAAAAUUUAUCUUAUAACUAUAUACAUUUGUACACACAAAGAUCAUUCUAAGAUGGUUGAUAAUGUUGAAAAGUUAUCAACAUGACUAUAAUAAUAUUUAUAAUCAGAGUGUUGAAGUAACUAGCAGCAAAGUUGGCACAGCUAUUUAUAAAGUACUGUCCAUUUCUACUAGUAGCACAUCUAAUAACCUAUUGAAGAGUCACAUUUAAAAUUUACUUUGUAUAUGAGCUGCAAAUUAUGUAUAUUCUCCUGCAGCACUAUUGUAAACAAAAAGCAGAACAAAACUUAGAUAAAACCUCUGAGGACUCAUGUUAGUAUUUCUCUUAGAACGCUGUCAGUUAUUCUAAAAUGUCACCUCCAUCAUUUAGAUCAGCUGUUGAAUUCUAGCUAAGCACAAGUUGAACUGUGGACAUCUGCUGACACAGUUGUAACUCAAACAUCUGAACCAUUUUACUGACAAGGGUAACAGAUGCUGACAUUAUCAAAUGCUACUAUGCUUCUUUCCAUGGUCAUUUUGUCCCGAUAUGGCCAGUACAUGAAACUCUAUUGCCAUCCAAAGCAACACUUGAGCAGCUGGACCUGUACAACAGUUUCCAUGUUACUGAUAAAAAUAGACACCAGUUUUUAUAGCUGCCUUAAAUGUUCUAGUCCAAGCAACACACACUAUGUGUAUCAACUGCUUUGAAAACCUUUUUGUUGAAAAGUGGCAUGUAAAUAAUAAAUAAUAAACAUGACAAAAAUGUGUAUUUACAAAAAUCUUACUUCCACCAGCAGACUCUGCACAAUUUACAUUUAAUGUAUGAUUAUCAUGUGGAUUGAACUAAUACUGCAGCUCUCUAACUUGGCUAAGUAUUCAAAGGCUUUCAGCGAAAUACUAUUUUUUGACAUCUGCCAUUUUAAAAAACCAUUAAUUUUUAGCAUGCAGACUGCAUGACCAUUUAACUCCAGUGUCAGAUUUUGCAAUAUGUAACUAUAACUUCAACCCAAAAAAGGUGCAAACAAAAAAAGUUUGCUUCCAUCAAAAUGUUAUGUUCCAUCUAUACGCAAAGAGGAAUGUUACUACAAAAAAAGCCUUACAAAACAGUAUUUACUCUGGAUAUAUAAAAUUGGGUUUAUACUUGAGAACAGUUUCAGAAGCACUCGACUAUUACAAGUAGCAAGCUGAAACACUGCUCCAUAUUCACCUCCCCAAUCAGCCAUCCUAAUCAAAAGUUACAGUGAAAUGUACAGUAGUAUUGCCUCACUAAUAUACUUCCUUUGGGGUAAUAAUGAUCCCCAAAGAGUCAAGACACAUAUAUUCUUAGUAUAGCAAAACUAAAUGAUAAGGAAAAGUUCUAAAUUUUAAGGGCUGUUUUUUUAUUUUAUGAUAAAGAAAAUCUAUGCCUACAAAAAUCAUGAGGGCAAGGAGCUAAUUAUUCUAAGCCAUGUGUUUCUUCUGUGACCUACCAAACACUUGGGUUUCACUUAAAACAACUCACCUCUACUUUAUGAAAAGCUGGAAGUAGUGAAAUCCCAGGAAUUUCAAACUGACAACAAUGUAUACUUCUUACAAUGUCCUUUAGCACAAAUAUUAAAUAGCUGUACCCUUCCUAAACUUCAAUGCUUUGCUAAAGCUGGUAAAAUGGAACCAAAUCACCUAUUUAAUGGAUUUGGUCCCCUUCAACCAGCUGUAGCUAUGUAUUGAUCACUACAGGACAAUGCUUUUAUCAGCAAGGUAUUUUAAUAAGGGGAAUAUGAGAAUAUGCAAGAAAAAAUGUCCUUAGCAAUGGUUAAGUACAUAAUUUCAAGCAAGCUAUACAGUAAGAUUGAGCAUCACUACCAACUCUGGGCAAUCUAAAAAGAAGAUAUUUGCUUUCCAAGGAAGUUCUAUAUUAGAAAUUAUUCCCAUGCUGUAUAUUAAUAAAUCCUUGAGACUUG